RNAcentral lists this transfer RNA (73 nucleotides) under Mycetomoellerius zeteki. RNAcentral's name for it is "Trachymyrmex zeteki tRNA". It matches the Rfam family "tRNA". Rfam says of the family: Transfer RNA (tRNA) molecules are approximately 80 nucleotides in length. Lineage: Eukaryota; Metazoa; Arthropoda; Insecta; Hymenoptera; Formicidae. The record is from Rfam by way of RNAcentral.
GUCUCGGUAGUCUAAAGGCUUAGGACGCUCGCACGGAGUGCAAGAGAUCCGGGUUCGAUUCCCGGCCGAGGCA